AUAAAGCCUCACAACAUUCUUCUUGAUGACGAAUUUUGUCCAAAGAUCUCUGAUUUUGGUCUCGCGAAGCUAUGCCAGAGCAAAGUAAGUAAGAUUUCGAUGAUAGGUGCACGAGGGACUGUUGGUUACAUAGCACCUGAAGUAUUCUGCAGAUCUUUUGGAGGAGUAACUUACAAGUCUGAUGUGUAUAGUUAUGGAAUGAUGGUUCUUGAAAUGGUCGGACAAAGCAAAGACUUUGAUAUGGGAUCGUUGGAAACCAACGAGAUGUAUUUCCCGGAUUGGUUUUAUAUGUAUCUUGAACCAGGAAAGAUUUCAACACUUCAUGGAGGUACAACGGAAGAGGAAAAAGAGAUUGUUGAAAAGAUGAUCUUAGUGGGUUUGUGGUGCAUCCAAACCAUUCCAUCACAUAGACCAUCAAUGACAAAGGUGGUAGAGAUGUUUGAAGGCAGUCUUCAGUCUUUGCAAAUUCCACCGAGACCUUCCUUUUCUUCUCCUAGAAGGUCCGCUCAAGAGCAAUCUUGCACUGUAUCAUCACUGCCUUGCGUGUCAUCGCAGGGAGAUGAGGUAAACAAAUUGCCUGCUGAUGGAAGUGACUUGUAAUCGGAAACUGAAAACUUUUUGUCCAUGAUGAUAACAAAUUCUAGGAUGUACUUGAUGUUCAAUAUGUGGGAAGUGUAGAAUUGAUCUGUUCCUGCUUGCUUGUCAUUGUUUAUAAUUUCAAGGUUUAGACAAGACCAAGAGGCCGAGCUUUAUUAUUGCUUAUGGUUAAUGUCGUCGAGGCUUCAUUGCAAUUUCAAAGUUUAGAUAAAACUCAGAGGUUGAGCUUAUUAUUACUAAUGGUUAAUGUCAUCAAUGCUUCAUUACUCAGAUGUUCAAUAUAUUUCUUACUCGUAUUCGUAUUUUGCUUGAGCAGCUGAAUUAGAAUGGAAUCGUCUAUGUUCGAAACUAUACCACAAAACUUCAGGAAAGUGAACAUAAAUCUUCUACUCUUCAUCAAUAAGUUUCCUGUAGUCAUUCAUGUGAAGAACCGAUACCAGUGUAUGUUUGUAGGGAACAUAAAUCUUCUACUCUUCAUCAAAGGCUUGUGAAGAUCUUUCUGCUGUGCUUAUUGGGGUCAGAAGUAGUCGUUCCACGAUGAAGUCAAUUUGAGCUUUCGGAAUGUGUAACAACCAACCAAUCUUCCCUUGGUAACAUUAAUGCCAAUCUAAGCAGCUUCUUGGGAUGUGUAGAACUAGUGUUAUUUUCCCGGCAUUUCAAUCAGCUGCUCUGCGUAUAGGUAGCAACACUACUGAAGCAGAUGUGAUCUAAGUGUUUAAUCAAGGUUUACUGUGUCCAACAUGAUAUCAAACUUUGCCAAAAAUCAUCAUCAUGUUUUUAUAGUUCAGUUUUUUUUUUUUCGUGAAUGAGUGAUUUCAUUUAUCGAAGAAGAAAUGGCAGGAACCAAACCCUGCUUACAAGGCUUCAGGGAAAACGAAAACAAAAGGAAGGGAGGCUGUAAAAGCACUUUACAAAUAACCGUUCCUUUUCACCUGCACCUGACAGGCAAAAGAAAUAGGGUCAAGAAGCUUGCUGGUAGUAGAAUAUAAUUCAGUAUGACAUCUAGCUAGCCAAAUGAAGUACAAGUACUUCAAUUAAUUCUUCAGGGUUUAAUUUCUGUACUUUUGAACAGACAUGCGCGACUGUAAUACAGCCAUCAAAUUUCUAUCUUCCUUUACCUUUUUCAAUAUCCAAUGGUGGCUCUCACAUUUUCUUCUUUUACAGUUAUAUCAGCUACUGUACGUGGUAGUGUUAUUAGCAGUCUAUGUCAUUCUGGUACGUUUCACUAAAGGAGAAGGAUUAUUUAGUGGCGAGACAAUGACCCUCUGGGGGAAGAACACGAAGCACAAUGAAAAGAUUGAGGCAUUCAUGGUGAACUGUCACUCUUUUAUUCCAAAGAGGUACUAAUAUUCAGACAUUAAGAAAAUGGACAACUCAUUUAACAACUAGAUUAGAUCAAGGGGGAUUUGGUGGUGUAUACGUAGGGAAGUUUUUAGAAACUGAUGGAGAAGAAUUUAAUAAUGAAUUAAGUUGCAAGCAUCAGUAGAAACUUCCCAUACAAACAUAGUUAAUCUUCUGGUUUUUUGCUAUGAGAGAACUAAAAGAGCCUUAAUCUAUGAAUCCAUGCCCAGUGGAUCUCUUGUAUCUUAUAAAGGAUCCGCUCAAAUAAAAUGUCAUCUAGAAUGGAAUACGUCGCAGUUGGAGUUUCUAGAGGUCUGGAGUACUUACAUAGAGGUUGUAACACUAGGAUUGUUCAUUUUGACAUAAAGCUUCACAACAUUCUUCUUGAUGAAGAUUUUUGUCCAAAGAUCCCUGAUUUGGGUCUGCAAGAGCAAAGAGAGUAACCUUUCAAUGGCGGUUGCAAGAGGGACUGCCGGCACCAGAAGUAUUCUGCGAAACUUUUGAGAAGUUUUUUACAAGUUCGAUGUGUGUAUUUAUGGAAUAAAAUAUAAUUUUAAAAGUAUUUUGAAAAGUGGUUAAAUAAAACUGUCAAACAGAGAUAAUGCUUUUGUCAUCUCUUUCCUGCCAAGUUUUGGUUCAUCAUUUUUCUAAUAAUAACCCUUCUCCAUGCUACCUUUGCCAAUGAUGACGAGCGAUAUUAGUUAUCCUUUCUGGGGAUCCAAUUGGCCUGCAUACUGUGGCUAUCCGAAGUUGGAGCUCAAUUGCAGAAACCAGGAUCUGGAGAUCACAAUCAAGCAAUUGACAUACAAAGUCCUUCACAUACAAAAACCAGUCACGGACUCUCAGCGUUUCCCGGUCAGAUUGUGCAGAAAACAUCUGCCCCACACUCCUCAGCACCACUUGGAUUCCCAAUUUUUUGAACUACACAUCUGAUGAUCAUAGCAUAACGAUCUACUUUGGUUUCCCCACUCAAGGUUAACCAACUUCUGCGCUUUAAACUCAGUUUCCCUGCAACAUAAACACCACUGAGAUGACGGGGGCUACUUUUUACUGAAACGGCCGACUUUUCUGCCCUUGGUAGCUCUGCUUCUAACCUGAUCAGUUAGCUGGCAUCGUGCAACGAUAGCAUUGAAGUUCCAGUGCGUUAAUCAGCUCUUGAGUAAAUUAUAAAUAAUCCAACUGUAACACAGUUGCAGGGAGCUCUAAAUCAAGGUUUUGGGUUGGAGUGGAAGCACGAGAUAACUUAUGUGAUACAUGCCAACUUUCUAGUGGUCAGUUUGGAGACAACCAGACUACUACAGCAGCAUUCACUUGUUAUUGCAAGGAUCAACCUCGACAAUUAAUUUUCUUGCCAAGAAUCCACAACUUAUAAUCAAUCCCCAAGUAUGUCCUCUUCCCUGUUAUUAUUUUUUGGGAAAAUUGUUAGGUAUUAGUUACAAUACUAGUAAAGGUCGGAAUCCUUGAUUAAAAAGAUUUGUGUUAAAUUAGUUUAUUACAAUCUUUGUUGUUUAAUUAGAUAGUUAGAUUACUAGAUAGAUUAGGAUAGUUAAAGGAUUAAUUUCCUUAUAAAUAUAAGGGUUAAGGUAGAAGGAGCAGCAGCUUAAACAGCAACAGUUUUUCAACGUAGCAGUAGAAAAUUUCCAGCAGCAAAAAUAAUAGUAACAGACGAAAUAGCAGCAGUAGUUCUAAACCCAGCAGAAUAUCCAGCGACAGUGUGUUAAAAAAAUAAUUCAGCAGCUGUUUUAACAAAUAAAUUAAUAAUUAUUGUUGUUAUUUAUUUUUAGAUUUCUAUAUAAAAAAAUAAAAAAAUAUAUAUUUAGAAGAAAAUCAAAAAAUAAUAGGAGAAGAAUACGCUGGAGCACCAAAAAAAUAACUAAAAAAAAUUAGUUGAGGAGAUUUAAAAAUAUAAAAAUUAAAAUUUAAUAAUAUAUUUUUUAUUAAAAAAACUGUAUCAACAAAAAAAAAUUCAAUUUGAAAUCUAAAAAUAAUUAAAAUAUCAUCCUUCUCCAUUACAAAACAACAUCUCCACCACAUCUCUUCCUUUCUUCUUCUUUUUUAUGCAUAGUAACCUUUCUUUUCCAUCACCAUCAAUCUCCUUUUCGUGAAUAGCUUCUUUGUCGAACAAACAAAAUUUUAAGUCAUAUACAUACUAUCUCUAAUUUCCUGCAGUACUUAAUAUAGGAUUUGGAUCACUCUUUCUCUCCGUAGUGAAAGAUCUUUUUGGAGCUUAAAACAUGGAUGGAGUUUCCUUGGCUUCACUUCUACAUUAACGACUAGAUUGCUGCUUUCAAUUCCAGAUUCUCUUGAGACGGUUUUUGAAUUGAUUUCUUGUUUCUGGAUUCUUUAUUAGUCCUGGAUUGCAAGGGAAAAAUUGACAGUGGGUGUCAUUUAUCAGUCCACACCUCAGCAUUAGCAUCUUGAUUUGGACAGAAAGACUUCUUUGAGUAAUGAAUGGUAAGGAGAAGGGCCACGCUAAAAAAGAUCAAUUGAUAGGGACGACAUUAAUAAAAUUAUAAAGGUUGAAGGAUCUUUGAACUUGUUAACCCACCCAUUCUAUCUAUACAAGUCUCCCCUAGCUAGCCAAACAAAUCAAAAUUCUCAAGGAAAGAUCCUAGUAACCUUCCAAUUGACUUAAACAACUUUUUAGUGUCAUCAUCCAAAGAUAUUUCCUCGUGACUUCUGUCUUUUGGAAAGAUCGUAGCUCGCUCAUGGAAUCCAGUGAAGAAACAAAUUAUAAAUUCAAAUAUAUUAGACAAUUCUUGAUAAAUAACCCUCUUUUCCCAUCAAAAUAGAAAAGAAAAAAAAUACUAAUUUCACCAUAAUCUCUUAAUUCAUAUUUUUAAGGUAAAUAUGAACUUAUAUCUCACUAAUAUAACCAAGUCAAUAGUCAUGUUCUAUACAACCACUCUCCCAUUACCAACACCAGUACACCAUUAACCUUACACCAUUCCACCACCAGCUGCACAACCCCUUCUGAUUCCUCCACCAAUGCACACCCUCACCACCACCUCCUCUUUCCUUCUCACCCUCUUUCUCUCCCUCCACUUAACGACAUCGCUUCCUUCCAAUGACACUGGUAAUCUUUCAAACUGCAAUCAAAACUUCUCCUGUGGUAUCCUCACAAACGUCACCUACCCUUUCACUGGUGGCCUACGUCCAUCCCACUGCGGCCCACCGGAGUUCGGCCUCACAUGUGAGGAUGAAUCAGUCACCAUCCUAAAAGCUAACUCACUGAGUUACCGAGUCAAUAUUCUUGACCAGACCAGCCAAACCUUAAGACUCUCACGUUCAGACCUCUACGACGACGGAAAAUGUACCCGCCAAUUCACUAACACCACUCUGGAUGACAGAAUCUUCAGUCUUGGUUCCAGCAAUGAACUUUUUUUGUUUUAUGGUUGCAAGAAGAUUAACGACUCUGGCAUGGGAUCAGAUCCGCUGCUAAAAAUCUCUAGGUUCUCUUGUGAAAAUGAUGGAGUUACAGAAGAAGGGUUUUUCUCGAUUGUUUACCCUUACGGUACUGAAUAUUCUUUUCCGAAUACGUUUGAGUGUCAAACUAAUAUUCGAGUGCCAAUUCCUGAGACUCGGGCACAACAGCUUCUUGAGAACGGGUCAUUAGUUGGUGAGGUUUUGAAAGAAGGGUUUGAUGUCAGUUAUGGUAAUCCUUACAGUGCUAAUUGUACAGAGUGUUACAAGAAGCACCCUGGUGAGUAUUGUGGAUUUGAUACACAGUUGGGUAAACCUAUUUGCAUUUGUCAUGAUCAGCUCUGUCCUGGUAAGCAAAAAUCUUUAGUUUUCAUGAGUUUGUUUGUGCAACGAUUAUUAGGUUAUGCAUGACAAAUAUGGAGUACCUCCAUCAUAUGCUCCUCCUUAAAUCUCCUAUAGAGGGUAUAUGAGCAUCUAUAUUUAUUGAAAUUGAAAGUUGCAUGACUAAAGAAUCAAAUUAGCACAUUAAAAUUUCUAAACUAAACAAAUCCUUGUAAUUUUCAAAAAUUAAAUAAAUAUUAUUACAAUAAAAAUGAUUAUGUCAAAAGAUUAAAAAACAAAAUCGCACAUCAAUAUUCCCUAACGCUGAGGUAUUGCAACUUUAUUAAUAUAUAUAAUUUUAUAAUUUUAACAACUUUUUAAUCAUUAAAUAAAAUAUAAUAACAAACUUGUAAAUAAUUUUUUUUUUUUGAUAUUUUUUCGAGGCUUGAGGAUGUAAAGUAUUAUAAAGUUAUUAAGUUGAUGUAAAGUAUAAUUCUUUAAAAAACAGGGAUAGUGUGAAAAAAUGAUCAAAGAGGCUUGAUGUAAUUUUUUUAUUAUUAAAAAUUGAAAAGUAUAAAAUACUAUAAUUUUAAAUCUUCAAGUAACAAGUAUUUCAUAGUCUUAGCAAAUGUUAACACUCAUAUAGCAGUCUUUUAUCUAUAGUGUAGAUAAUGAGAAAAAUGAGGUUGUAACCAUAAAAUUGACAGUGGGUGUUAUUUAUCAGUCCACGUCAGCAUUAACAUCUUGAUUUGGACAGAAAGACUUCUUUGAGUAAUGAAUGGUGAGUAGAAGGGCCACGCUAAAAAAAAUCAAUUGAUAGGGACGACAUUAAGAAGAUUAUAAAGGUUGAAGGAUCUUUGAACUUGUUAAACCACCCAUUCUAUCUAUACAAGUCUCCCCUGGCUAGGCAAGCAAAUCAAAAUUCUCAAGGAAAGAUCCUAGUAACCUUCCAAUUGACUUCAACAACUUUUUAGUGUCAUCAUACGGAGAUAUUUCCUCGUGACUUCUGUCUUAUGGAAAGAUCGUAGCUCGCUCAUGGAAUCCAGUGAAGAAACAAAUUAUAAAUUCAAAUACAUUAGACAAUUCUGGAUAAAUAACCUCUUUUCCCAUCUAAAUAGAAAAGAAAAAAAAUAAUAAUUUCACCAUAAUCUCUUAAUUCAUGUUUUUAAGGGUAAAUAUGAACUUAUAUCUCACUAAUAUAAAAUGAGAGCUUUGAAUAAUUAUAAUAGAAUUUAUUUUUAUACUAAAUAAUUUAUCAUGAACUUAGUCUUACUGUUGCGAGAAUUGUUUUCAAGACAAAACUAUUUUAUUUAGCUUGACAAAAAUAAAAAACAAACCUGUAUUUGUUCUUCAUCUAAAUGCUGCUCUUGUUUGAAUUAAUUUUUCUAUGAUAUAGCUCAUGCACGGGAGGAAACUCUCACAGUGCUGGUAAGAGACACUAUCUCUCACCUUCAUUUUUUGUCCAUGAUGUUAGUAUGUACUUGAUGUUCAAUAUGUGGGAAGUGUAGAAUUGAUCUGUUCCUGCUUGCUUGUCGUUGUUUAUAAUUUCAAGUUUAGACAAGACUAAGAGGCCGAGCUUUAUUAUUGCUUAUGGUUAAUGUCAUCAAAGCUUCAUUGCAAUUUUCAUAGCGAACUUCUAUAUUUUUCUUACUCUGGUCAUUAUAACGACCAUGAACCUGAACGGCCAAUAUAGGAGGCACAGAGUGAAUUCAUUCACCGAAGAUGAAAUAGCAGGAACCAAUCCCUGCUUACAAGGCUCUGGGGAAGACGAAAACAAAAGGAAGGGAGGCUGUAAUAGCACAUUACAAAUAGAUGUUCCUUUUCACCUGCACUUGACAGAGAAAGAAAGAGUUAAGAAACUUGCAGGUAGUAGAAUAUAAUUCAGCAUGCCAAUAUCUAACUAGUCAAAUGAAGCACAAGUACUUCGAUUAAUCCUUCAUGGUUUGAUUUCUGCUACACGACUUUUGAAGAGACACUGGCGACUUAUCACUACAAAAGAUAGUACAGUAAUCAAAUUCAUAUCUCCCUGUUUUCUUUUUUUUUCUUUUUUUAUUCAGAUAUCUAGGUCAAUUUGUGUAUAUCUCAACUCAUAAGUUUUAAAAUUAAUAAUCAGAUAAGUCUCUAAUUGCCAUCAAUAACAGGUGGUGGUAACUAUUUCAUGGUUCUCACGUUUUCUUCUUUUAAGCCAUAUCAGCUCCUGUGGUGCUGUUAUUAGCAGUCUUUAUCAUUUUGUACGUUUUACUAAAAGAGAAGGAUUAUUUAGUGGCAAGACAAUGAUCCUCUAGCGGAAGAAUACAAAGCACAAUGAAAAGAUUGAGGCAUUCAUUGUUGUAAUCCAAAUUUUGAUCCAAUUGCGUUUUAGUCUAAUUUUAAGGGGUUAAAAUUUGAAAUUUAAAGAUCAGACGCUUGAAUGCAAAAUUUGGAAACUUCAAGGACCAAAUUGAGAAAUGGUCAUUCCCAGUCCAAAACGGCACCGUUUCGACCAUGCACAGUUUCUUCUUCUUCCUCUGACGCUGCAAAUCCGCCUGCAAAAAAGGGGAAGAAAUUAAGAUGCCAGCAUCCUAGUCCUGCCAAAACACAAAGAUCAAAUCCCUAUCUUCAUGAAGAUUACUACCCCGGGGAGAUAAGGAUCAAGCCUCAGGUGUCCAAGUCCCAGCAAAAAAAACCAAUACCUCCCUCCCAGCCAUGCUUAUCAAGAGAAAAGCCGUGCGAGGAGGGAGAACCAGGGACGUCCCCUAUAAAUACAGAGCUCUCCAGAGGAACCGGGAUGGGGGGGGAAUUCAGAGGAAAAAAGAGAAAACAGAGAGGAUAAAAACAGAGGGAGAACCAGGGGAGAAAAGGAGGAAAAAAACAGAGGAAAGAAAAAAAACCAAAAAAAAGAAACAAGAGAACCAGGAAGAGAUAGAACGUGGAAGACAGAAACAGAAGGAACAAGAGAAAACUUGAAAGCAGGAACGUCGCUCAGCAUCAGCAAUCUCGCGUAAAUUUUCUGCAAAACCAGGUAAGUAUUUUGCUUUUCCCCGCUCUCAUUUUAAUUCAUUAAAGAUUGUUCUCCCUGCAUUUUAAUUACCCCGUCCCUGUAGCAAGCGUGCGUGAAUAGUUCACACACGCUUGCAGCCAAAGAGAUUAAACGGGCUGGGUUACUGAUUUGAACCAGUAACCGGGCCGAGCAGCUGGGUGUAGUCCAACCUCUAUGGUUGGGCUAGACCCAGUCCCCAAAAAAAGGUAAAAAAGAGAGUGGGCUGGUUAUGGGCUUUAGACCCAGCCGGCCUAAAUUGUGUUUACUAAGGGUGUGUUUGGCAAAACGCAUCCUUAUACCUUGACCAUAAUUUUUAUGUCCAUUGUAGUUUGAUAUUUGGCCAAACAAGCUCUAUUUUUAUAUAUAAAAAUUUCAAAAUAUUUGGGGAUCUUUGUUGAUUUAUUUGUGGACCCCUCACACUUUGAUUUAUUUUUUUUCUUUGUGUUUUUAUUUUUUUCAGCUAUGUACUUAAUCUGUGGACUAUUAUUGUUAAAUGCAAAUUUGUCGUGCAAUGUUUUUUUUUUCAUCUAAAAAUGACAAAUAAUAAUAAAGAUAAAUAAAAAAACAGCAUAGAAAACUUUUUCUUCAAAUUCAAUUUUUUGCAAAAUUAUUCACUAACGCUAGAGUUAGAAAUAUCACAAUUUUUUAGGUUUGUGCGAUAUUUACCACCGUCAGAGUUAAAAAUAUUUGUAUGAACUGUUCACUGACGCCAGAGUCAGGAACAUGAUAGGAAGAAUUAAAAAAAAAAGAACAUAUUCUUAGUAAUUUUAGACAAAAUCAGUAAUGCAGUCUGUCUCAGGUAGAACGCUUAAGAGGUGAUAGUAUUUUUCAUUUUGCAUAACCAGUCCUCUACUAUUAGAAUCUUUGUUGACCAGUUAUGAUUUCUAGUGACCAUAAUACUAAGUGGCGACUCCUUAAACUAUAUAUUUUUUUCUAAAAAAAUAAGAUAUCAGAUAUUUUUUUUUUUUAUUGAGAGUUAAUUUUUUAUCUAUCACUGCGAUGUCCGAGUGUGACAUUCAUGAUGAACUAUCACUCUCUUAUUCCAAAGUGCUAUUCAUUUUCAGAUAUUAAGAAAAUGAACAAUUCAUUUAACAACAGAUCAAGGGGGAUUUGAUGGUGUAUACGAAGGGAAGUUGCUAGGUGGUCGUCUUGUGGCAGUAAAAGUCCUCACUAAGUUACUGAUGGAGAAGAAUUUAUUAAUGAAGUUGCAAGCAUUAGUAGAACUUCCCAAUAAACACAGUUAAUCUUUUGGGUUUUUGACAUGAGAGGACUGAAAGAGUCUUAAUCUAUGAGUACAUGCCCGAUGGAUCUCUCGAUAAGGUAGCGUUUGCCAUGAUCGAUAAUAUAAAACUGGGUAAACAAUUCAUUAAUUCUUUAUAUAUAUAUAUAUAUAUAUAUAUAUAUAUAUAUAUAUAUAUAUAUAUAUAUAUAUAUAUAUAUUGUCAAAACAAGAUUGUUUUUUUUUUUUUAAUUUGAAUCAACCCGGGUUAAUCCUACCAAGUCAUGAGUAUUCAGGUCUUACCCCAGAUCGAUCCUAGUGUUAGGAUUUAAAACUAUAAUGAUAAUCAUUUUUAUUUUUACAUUACUUUGAGUCAAUCCGGGUUGACUAUCCCUACCCUUGCCCGAAAACACUGUUCUGAUUGUUUCCUGAACCCCUGUGGNNNNNNNNNNNNNNNNNNNNNNNNNNNNNNNNNNNNNNNNNNNNNNNNNNNNNNNNNNNNNNNNNNNNNNNNNNNNNNNNNNNNNNNNNNNNNNNNNNNNCUCGGGUUAAUGGUCAACUCAACCUAUAACUCGAGUCUAACCUCGGGUUGACCCACGAGUAGGGUUUUAAAACUAUGAUAAUAACUAUUUUUAUCUUUAUAUUGACCCAGGUCAAUGGUCAACUCGGCCUGUGACCUGAGUCUAAUCUUGGGUCAACUCUUGAGUCGGGUUUUAAAAUUAUGAUAAUAAUAAUUUUUAUCCUUAUAUUGACCUGAGUCAAAGGGCAGGCUGGCCUGUGACCCGAACCUAACCCUAGGUUAAACUCCAAGUUGAGUUUUAAAAUAAUAAUAAUAAUAAUCAUCAUCUUUAUCUUUAUGUUGACUAAAGUCAAUGGUCAACCCGACCUGUGACCCGGGCCUUGUCCCUAGCCGACCCUCAAGUCGAGUUCUAAAACUAUGAUAAUAACCAUUUUUAUCCUUACGUUGACCCGAGUUAAUGAUGAACCCAGCUUGUGACCUGAGCCUAGCUUUAGGUCAACCUCCAAGUUGAGUUUUAAAAUUAUAAUAAUAACUAUUAUUAUUCUUAUGUUGACCCGGGUCAAUGGUCAACUCUAUCGUGACCUAGACCUGGCCUUGAAGCGACUCUCAAGUUGAGUUUUAAAACUAUAACAAUAACUACUUUUAUCUUUAUGUUAACUCGGGUUAAUGGUCCCAACUCGCGACUCAGGUCUAACUCUGAGUUGACCCUUAAGUCGGAUUUUAAAAAUAUAACAAUAAACUACUUUUAUCCUUAUGUUAACUCGGGUGAAUGGUCCCGAUCCGCGACCCAAGCUCAGUCCCAAGUUGAGUUUUAAAACUAUAAUAAUUACUUUUAGCUUGAAUCGAGUUUUAAAAUUAUGAUAAUAAUUAUUUUUAUUCUUAAAUUGAUUCAAGUCAAUGAUCAACCCGAGCUGACCCUUGGUUGAGUUUUAAAGCUAUACUAUAACCAUUUUUAUUGUUAAAGAUACCAAACACUAUCUAAGUUUAUGUCUUGUAAAGAAUUCGAACAAAUAAAAUAGAAAGCAUACUUCGAUGAAUAACAAUCUAUUUAAGAAAAUGCAGUCCUGAAUUUAAUUUGAUGAAAAGCUUUGUUUCUCUUCUGAGCUUCAAUUAUUUUGAAGUAUGUUUUGAUGAAAAAAGAUGUUUGAUAAAAAUCAGUUUUCUUAAUAAAUUUCUUAUCCCAUACAUUCAUCAAUAUUAGUUAUAAUAAAAAACCACAUUUCAAAAUUAAUCAUUGAAGAGCCCAUUAGCUUAUCUAUAUAUCCAUCACAUCUUACACCCAGCUUUCAAUUUCAUGUUAUUACCACCAUGCCAUUUGACUUUUCCAACCAUGCUAGAAUUAAUGUAAUUUCUAUUUCAGCUUUCAACUUCAUGUUAUUUUUUAUGUAUUUAUUUUUGUUACUCAUUUCUUUAUCCUCUGAACUUUAAUUUCCCAGAAACAACAAAGCCCAUUUUGCUAACACACAAUUCCAUUUUGAAACCCUAUGUCACGCAAUCGGUUUUAGCCUUCUAUUUAAUUUACAAUAUUCUUGAUUUCAUUUUUUAUUUAAACCAACGCAAAGGGUCUCAAACCAUAGAUAAAUUCUUACUUUACAAUAUUCUUGAUUUCAUUUUUUAUUUUUUAUUACAUAUUUAGGCUGAAUUGAAUACAAACAUUUCAUUUUUUUUCUGGGAAGUUUUGUUGAACCUUGGUUUGAGCAAUUGGACAACCCUAUCAUUUUCUCUUAAUUAUUUUUGUUAUUAGGUACGAGAGAGACCCGAUUUCAUGUUAUUAUCAUCAACCACAUAUAUAAUUUAUUUUCCAAACUAUGCGAGCAUUUUUUUGCAAGAUAUUUGACCGAUUCUGUUCUCUUCUUUUAGUCCCCAAGACAGUGAUGCAUCAUAGCAUACAAGAUUUCAUUUUGCAAAUAGAGGCCUCGUAGAAAGAAAUUAAUGUGGUAGCCCUUUCCCAAGAAAAAACAUAACUUAAAAACUUUGAGUCCACCAAGCAUUUAAAUCCAAGUAUUGCGUUCCCAUCUAUCCCUUUCUGAUGUAUUUAUUUACCUGAAAUUGAUAAUUAGCACGUCAAGACUCAUCUCUUUAUACUCGAAACCAUCCCUGAAACAACCAAGCCCAUUUUGCUAACACACAAUUCCAUUUCUCCGAUGGUACUUCCUCUUGCCAGAAUGAAUUCCUCGGCCUUUUCUUUUCUUUCAGAUAUUGUUCUUGUAUUGUUGCUCUUCAUUCAAGUCCCUUCAUCCUUAGGCAACGAUGCCAUGUUCGGUACUGCCUGUAGUAAAAAGUUUGUGUGUGGGGAUAUUUUCGUGGAUUUUCCAUUUUGGGGAAAUGACAGAUCACCUACCUGUGGCGUUCCUGAUUUGGAGCUCAGAUGUGAGUAUAAUAUCGCCAAGAUGAAAAUCAAUCAGGUUGCCUAUCGUGUUUUGGAAAUCAAUCAGGAUGCUAGAAUUCUCAGGAUUGCAAGAGAGGACUACUUUGUUGGAUUGUGUACACCUCAAUUUACGAGCACCACGUUCAAUCCUAAGGUUUUCGAGCCUGUUGAGGGUUCCAAAAAUCUUACAUUCAUUUAUGGUUGCAAGGAUGCUCCUGAUCCAACCAUACAUGGUCCUGGUAUACCUUUCACUUGCAAAAUAAAUGAGGUUAAUGAUCAACGUGGUUAUAUCCAAGAAGGAGAUACUGGUCCUGGUGAAUGCAAUCGUAGUGUCUUAGUGCCAGUUUCUACAACAGAUUUGCCACCAUUCUGGAAUAGGCUAGCUUUGGAAGAACACUUGGAAAAAGGAUUCCAGGUAAGAUGGAAGGUCGAUGGGGAUGCGUGUUGGGAAUGCUCCACCUCUUCAGGUAAGUACCUCAACUUCUCCUCGAAUCAGUUUAUGAUGAACUCCAGUCACUUGUUGAUGCUUCACACACCUUAGUUCCGUUCCUGUUUUGUUAUUUUAAUUUUAUUUUAAAUAGACUUGGACAGAAGUAAACAUCAAUAUGAUGAUGAUGAUGAUGAUGAUGAUCUCUUAGAACCACUUGAAUAGUCUAUUAGGGAGGCUCGAACUGCAGAGCUAGACCAUGGGAAUAAGGGACAGCUUUCUGGUUAGGAAACGGUCACACCAUAGUUAAAUUGAUGCCCAUGGUGUCUUAUCGUAUAUACAACUACUCGUAGGAAAUCUUGAUGGCAUGUUCUGCAGAUUUUUUGAACUGACAGAGAAAAUUAUAUGUGAUUUUUGUCAACUAAUUGAUCAUAGCUAAGAAUUUAACUUGUCUGCUUUAAGAGUUGCCUAAAUUAUUUAUUCAGUCCUCGUUUUAUUAGAAAAAUAAUUAGUAAGUCCAUCUGAUUAAAAAUAAACAAUAUUAUAUCCCUAUGUUUCAUUUCCAUCAUAUUUUAAUCACUUCACUAAGUGUUUGUUAAUUAAGAGUUGAGUUGUCACCAAUUUAACUCUUCUUUUUUUAACAUAAUAUCCCCUUUUAAAUUAAAAUAAAUUUAUAAGACUUAAUUUGAGGUUGAUCUUUUUAAGAUCUAGAUCACGGAUAAUGACUUGACUCGUGCCAAUUUAAGUUUUUUUUGUUUUUUAAAAAAAAAACUUCAAAGGAAAUUGUUUGGGGUUUUUAUUUUUUUUUAAAAAAUAACAUUGUUUAAAAAAAAAACUGAAUUCUGCUAUUAACUUGGUCUAGGUUUAGCCUCAAGUCAGCGAUUAUAAAAUUGACGGCCGAGCAAAAAUUAUAACUAUGAAUUUUUCCAUUUUUAACAUGCAUGUGAUUGUUGCCUCUGGGAGCUGUUCAUAUUCCUUGACGGCUGGACCGGCAAGGUACCAAACAAAAACAUACAAUAACGAAGGAUUUAUAAAUUCUUGCACCAGUAGGGAGGAUUCGGGGAGUGGUGGCCCGAGACUCUCUGGCAUAUUUUUACCUUAGCUUGGAUGGAUAUUCAGGGGAGAUGAGAUGGUGAUUUAGGAAGGAUCUCAUCUGACAAACAACCUAAACCCCGAAGAAAUAAUUAAUUAUUCGAUUGGAAUUAGCAAAUCUAAUCAACAUAAUAGAAAUUACAGGGAACAUUUGAUAAUUAAAAUAUGGGGGGGUAAAGGUAGGAAAACACCAGGAAAUUCACAAGGUGAUGCAGAAAUGGAGUCCACAUCAGAGACUUGGUCUUUCUGCAGAUGUCAUUUUCUUCUUUGUUCUGUUUCCUGGAAUAAUCUAUCAACUGAAACUUCAAAUUCCCACCUCCUGUUUUCGUCUGCUUUGACUUUAGGUGGCACGUACGAAAUUAAUUUUAAAUAAUUCACACGUUUACUCCAGGAAUUUAAACAUACAUAGGGCACCGUAACAUCACAAAAUUCUUUUUCCUUGAUUCGUCAUUAUGCCAUAUAAAUUUAAUCAGCCAAAAUAAUAGCACAAAGGAUAUCAAUAUAAGGUUACAGUAACUCAUAUUAUUUACAAUAAAUUAUAUUUAAUUUUUAUAUUUUUAUAAUGUGAAAGUAGUGAUGUGUUUAUGACUCUCUUUUUUUUAUAUAGAUUUUCAUUUCAUAAAUUCAUACUUGGAGCAACAUUAAGAUCUUAAAAGCUAAAUAAUCUAAAGAUAUAUCAUGAAAUUAAAAUAAUAAAAUAAUAUAUAAAGGCUUGUAGCUGCCAUGAAAACAGGAAUAGACAUCUCUUCUUCCUUUUUAGCGCGUGACCCAGUGACGUUAAAGUAAGAAAUGAUUUGGUGUAUAAGGGUAUACCAAAAGUGCUAUGCAAUCGCUUGUGUCAAGUGGCCACAUCACCUUCCAAUUUAAGCCAAACUCAAUAGUCAGCUCUUAAAAUUCUUGACGAAGCCUGUUCUCGGUAUUUUGUGAGUUCCGUUAACACGAUUUUCUAGCUACCUCUUAAACUCAUCAUCAUUAUUCUAAUAUUAUAUAUUCAAAAAUCAUUUCAAUCUCAAAGUAAAAUUUUAGAUUAUAAUUUAUAUUGUUGUUUAACAAUAAAAAACUUAGAACAGGUUAUUUAUUCUAUCAAAAGUUCAACAUCAUUUUUUUAGGAUGUUUGGAAAUAUAAUAAAUAUUGUUUUUUAAAGUGUUUUUUUAUUUAAAAAUUAAUUUUAAAUAAAAAUAAAUAGAUUUUAACCAAUUUUUUGUACCGCAAUCCCAAAUGUACCUUUAGUCACCCAGAAAUUAGGUUGCAAGAAAAUAAAUAUUUGACUAUCAGAAGUAUUCAGAUACCAAUGUUUACGUUGGCCAUAGUACAAUAAGUAUAAAACCAUACAUUUAAGACAUGAAACUUGAGAAUUUUAACAAGAACACAGAAUUUGACUAUCAGGAUUCAAAAUACACAUUAUCUUGCUGACAAAAUGACCUGCCUCCUUGUUUGGCCACCUGAAUUUACGUUGAUGCCACUCUCACCAUUAAUUCUAAUGGAAGCUUCUCUUUGAUAAAAUCCCCAUUGGUCAAAUAAGUACUACCAAUUCUAUUGUAUUGAUCGAGUAAAUAACUCCCACCUAUGUGUUUCUUCCUCUUAACUCAAUACUUGAACAACGUUUCCUGUCAAUACCUCUGCAAAAACACGACCGCUACUCCUUCAGGCCAUGUCUUGGCUUAUCCUACUCCUAACCAUAGCCUUGGUCUGUGGUUCAGCACCUGUGUUUGCUGAUGAUGAUGAGCGAUAUCUGAACUGCAUGAAGUCAUUUGAUUGCGGAGAUAUUAAAGAUGUUGGUUAUCCUUUCUCGGGAUCCGAUAGGCCUGAUUACUGUGGCUAUCCCGGGUUUGAGCUCGGUUGCAGCAACCAAGAUCCGGAGAUCACAAUCAUGCAAUCGACUUACAAACUCCUUGGCAUCAAUAACCAGUCGCGGACUCUCAAUGUUUCUAGAUCAGAUUACACAGAAAAUCUAUGUCCUACUCUCCUUUCCAACACCUCUUUGAAUCCAAAUCUCUUGAGUUCCACUUCAGAUCAUGCUGAGGUAACACUAUACUAUGGUUGCCCUAGUCCAAGCCCACCAGCGUUAUCAUCUCAGUUUACUUGCAACAUUAACGACACUGUUAUGGUGGGAAACUUUAUAACAGUCAACUUCUCUGUCCUUAGCAUUACUGAUCCCAGCUUAAUCAGCUACCUGACAACAUGCAACAAUAGUGUUAAAUUUCCUGCCCAUCAAUCAGCUAUUGUGCCAAUUCUAGUCAGUCCAAAUGUAUCAGAGUUUCUUGAAGCUAUUAAUCAAGGUUUUGAGUUGGAGUGGAGUGCAAAUGAUUCAUUAUGUGAUACAUGCGAAUCUUCUGGUGGUCAGUGUGGGUACAACAAGACCACUACAGCAUUCACUUGUUACUGUGCGGGUCAACCUCAAGAUUUUGAAUGCUCAUCAUCACCACAGGCACCUAGUCAAUCUACAAGUAUGUCCUCUUUUCUUUCUGGAUGCCAUAAUUGGAUAGAUAGAGAUAGCUGAAAUCUAAGAUAUGCCCUCCAGGCUAGGUGAUGUAGGAGGACCUCUGGUAAAAGAAACAGGUGUGAAUCGUUCCUUUGAGUAGAGGGAGGAACCUAGCUAGCUAUUAGGAAUUGUUCAAAGCUCCAUGAUCCUGAAGAGAACACCUUCCUCGACCAUUUAAUUCCAGUAUAUCAAGGAAACAAAGACUUCGAUUAACUGACAAAGACUUCAUAAAAAUAAUAUUUUAUAAAAAGAGAUACAAUAAAAUAACCUUUUCGUUUAGUAAAGUCAAACGAGGCCUCGUCUCUAUCACUGAAACCCAAUGUCACCCUAUGUCACGCAAUCGGUUUCAACCUUCUAUUUAAUUUAAUUUAAUUUAAUUUCUAUACAUCUAUUUCUUUGUUUACUAGCCCAGUCCAUACUCAAAGUGCGUUUUUUUAUUGGUCAUAGCACCCCAAUUUGAUGUUCCAUCCCUGCAAGUGGUCGCAUGUGGGAAAUCACAGUACAUUUUACUUACAUGACCGUAGCUUUAAAACAAAUAAUUCAAUCUUACAGACUUUAUACUCCAAAAGGUUUUCUCAAACUAAUCUACAAUUUUCUGAGUAAUUGUUAAUUAUAAAUACAAGUUUGAUAGUUGGAGGAGGGCUUGUAAUAGUUAUUAACUAGUUUCUUUGGAUCGGAUCAAAAUGUUUCUGAAUAUAGAAAAUAAAAAAUCUCAAGCCACAUCGAAGUUACAUUGUGAUUAGUGCGGUUGGGUAUUUUUUUUUUUAGUUUUUUUUGUUAUGUUUUUUUUUUCAUCAGUUAAAAUAAAAUUUUUAUUUAAUUUUAUUCUUUAUUAUUAGGUUAAUAGCAAAUUAUUUUUUGUAGUUUUUAUCAUAAAAUAAAAUAAAAUAAUAAAUUAAUCAAGUUAAGUGUAUGAUCUUAAUUACAAGUUUGACAUGUUGACUAAACAUUAAUAAAAUGAUCGGGGUUGGGUUUUUUUAUACUUUUUUUUAUAUAUAUCUUUUGAAUUUUUUUUGUCAAUUCUAUUAUUUAAUGUGAGAUUUUUAUUGAAUUCUCUCAUUCAGUGUUGAGUUAAUGAUAAAUUAAUCUUGAUAUUUUCUAUCUUAUAAUAAAAUAAAAAUUCAUUCGAUUUAAUAGAGUCCAUAACCCAGGUCACGAGGUUGACAAGCCGACUAAAUAUCAAUAAGAAAAUUGAAUAGGAAUUUUUUCAAGUUUAAAUCAUUAUGCUGAUUUUAAUAACAAUACCACCAAGUUUUGAACAAUCUAAAUAUUGUUUUUAAUGUUUCAAAAUAUUUGUGUUUAACCCGCAUAAAAAGCACGGGUGGAUAAACUAGUAAUAACCAAAUCGAUGUAGCAUAGGUUCAUUUUUUAGCUUUACGUCUUAUUUUGUAUGUAAAUUAAAACUUGCAAUCUCAUGUUAAUAUUUAAACUUUAUGCUUUAUAAAAACAAUGAGCUUUUUAUUUUUGAAGGAUGUAAUUCGAUUAUCAUGAAGUGAGGGGAGGAGAAGUAUAUAUUUUGACAAUAAAAUAUAAUACCGUCAAAUUUAAUGUAGUUUUAGUUUGAAUGUACAAGGUUACAUAUUAAUAAUUCAACCUCUAAAUGAAUAUACCGUGUCAUAUAUAUGCCAUAUAAAUAAAUCUAAUAAUUAACAUUAUUUGAUGUCCUGUUACAGAAUCUUCUUGGAGUCGUGGGCAACUACAUAUUGCUGUAGGUAAAUAUUAUCAUAAGAAAUCCAAUCUUCUCGUUUGAUGAUGAUGGUAUUUUGAUGAUGAUGCAUCUUAAAUUACAGGCAUAUCAGCAGCUGUGGCAGCGAUAAUAAUUUUUUCCAUAAUUAUAAUAUGUCUCACUAGAAGAAAAGGUUCAUUUAGUGCCGUCAUAGCAAAGAUCAUCAGGCCGAAGAAUUCGCAGCAUGUUGACAGUGUUGAAACAUUUAUGAUGGACUACCAUUCUCUUACUCCAAAGCGUUAUUCAUAUUCAGAUAUCAAGAAAAUGACCAGCUCAUUCGUCAAUAUACUAGGUCAGGGGGGAUUUGGUUAUGUAUACAGAGGAAAGUUACCAGACGACGGUCGUCUCGUGGCUGUAAAAGUUCUAAAAGAGUCCAAAGGUGAUGGAGAAGAGUUCAUGAAUGAAGUUGCAAGCAUCAGUAGAACUUCCCACGUGAAUGUAGUUACCCUCUUGGGUUUCUGCUACGAGAGGAAUAAAAGAGCUUUGAUUUAUGAAUUCAUGCCCAAUGGAUCUUUAGAUAGCUUUAUAUCUGAUAAAGGAUCCCCACUUACAAACUGUCGUUUAGAAUGGAAAAAAUUAUAUGAAAUUGCAGUUGGUAUUGCUAGAGGUCUGGAGUACUUGCAUAGAGGGUGUAACACUCGGAUUGUGCAUUUUGACAUAAAGCCUCACAACAUUCUUCUUGAUGAAGACUUUUGUCCAAAGAUCUCAGAUUUUGGUCUCGCGAAGCUAUGCCAGAGCAAAGUAAGUAAGAUUUCGAUGAUAGGUGCCAGAGGAACUGUUGGUUACAUAGCACCUGAAGUAUUCUGCAGAUCUUUUGGAGGAGUAACUUACAAGUCUGAUGUGUAUAGUUAUGGAAUGAUGGUUCUUGAAAUGGUCGGACAAAGGAAAGACUUUGAUAUGGGAUCGUUGGAAACCAACGAGAUGUAUUUCCCGGAUUGGUUU
This 19478-nucleotide long non-coding RNA is filed under the name Populus trichocarpa (black cottonwood). RNAcentral describes it as "long non-coding RNA (PTRI_LNC004447)". Lineage: Eukaryota; Viridiplantae; Streptophyta; Magnoliopsida; Malpighiales; Salicaceae. The record is from RNAcentral.